UACGUAGGGGGCAAGCGUUGUCCGGAUUUAUUGGGCGGAAAGAGCGUGUAGGCGGCCAUACAGGUCAGCUGUGAAAACUCGAGGCUCAACCUCGAGACGUCGGUUGAAACCGUAUGGCUAGAGUCCGGAAGAGGAGAGUGGAAUUCCCGGUGUAGCGGUGAAAUGCGCAGAUAUCGGGAAGAACACCCGUGGCGAAGGCGGCUCUCUGGGACGGUACUGACGCUGAGACGCGAAAGCGUGGGGAGCGAACAGG
This 253-nucleotide ribosomal RNA is filed under the name uncultured bacterium. RNAcentral describes it as "partial 16S ribosomal RNA". It matches the Rfam family "Bacterial small subunit ribosomal RNA", at positions 524 to 776 of the family's 1533-position model. The record is from RNAcentral.